AAAAUGAGGUCUGAACGGAGAUACCAAUCACUGCAGAGUUCUGCCAGGUGCACCUUGAACAAUGAUUAUGACUGUGACUGGAGUACUUCAACAUCCCUUUCGCUGACUUCAAGAAGCCCUGCAUCUUCACAAGAUCUACAAUUUCAUUUUGCAAAUGAUUCCCAUGUAUUUGUCUGCACUGCAGGAUUUUCGACAAUUUACCUUUUUUCUCUCUGCCCUCCAUUUCUCUCACCUAUAAAACUGUGACAAU
This 250-nucleotide long non-coding RNA is filed under the name Pan troglodytes (chimpanzee). RNAcentral describes it as "long non-coding RNA NONPTRT003652". Lineage: Eukaryota; Metazoa; Chordata; Mammalia; Primates; Hominidae. The record is from RNAcentral.